This is a long non-coding RNA of Quercus robur (English oak), 335 nucleotides long. RefSeq lists it as uncharacterized. The record is from RefSeq and is a predicted model, not a curated record. NCBI's taxonomy places the organism in Eukaryota, Viridiplantae, Streptophyta, Magnoliopsida, Fagales, Fagaceae. The transcript is spliced from 2 exons.
UUAAAAAAAUAAAAGUUUUUAAAACUUUGAAUUAUCAAGUUAACGUCGGUUAGUGUCCUAUCAAAGGCGCACUGCCCAAACUUCAAGUUUAAAGGCCAUAAAAGCUACACAUGUCCUCCAAAAAAUAAAAUUUAAAAAGCCAUAAGAUAAAGUCAGAAAUAGAAAAGGGGGAAAAAGUCUGGCUUUUGGGACUCUGCGCGAAGAAGAAGAAGAAGAUUAGGAGGACUGGAUGAGAGGAUGAACGGAAAAAUAGAGUCACUACCAGAACAUCACGUUGACAAAUCCGAUAUAUUUCCCGGUAUGACCGGUACAAUCCGGUAUGCCCUGGUAUUUGG